Molecule: ribosomal RNA, 253 nt
Filed under: uncultured bacterium
Lineage: Bacteria
Description: partial 16S ribosomal RNA
Rfam family: Bacterial small subunit ribosomal RNA
Source: RNAcentral
UACGAAGGGGGCGAGCGUUGUUCGGAAUUACUGGGCGUAAAGGGCGCGUAGGCGGUCCUUCAAGUCAGGCGUGAAAGCCCCGGGCUCAACCUGGGAACCGCGCUUGAGACUGGCGGACUCGAGUUCGGGAGAGGAUGGUGGAAUUCCCAGUGUAGAGGUGAAAUUCGUAGAUAUUGGGAAGAACACCGAUGGCGAAGGCAGCCAUCUGGACCGACACUGACGCUGAGGCGCGAAAGCGCGGGGAGCAAACAGG